Molecule: long non-coding RNA, 545 nt
Filed under: Citrus maxima (pomelo)
Lineage: Eukaryota; Viridiplantae; Streptophyta; Magnoliopsida; Sapindales; Rutaceae
Description: long non-coding RNA (CMAX_LNC003417)
Source: RNAcentral
CGGUAAACACCAGACAACUAAGCUCUAACUAGAUGCCCAGGUUGCUCAUUAGUCAUCUUUAAACCAACAAUUUGUGAAAUCCAGAAUCGAAACAACAAAUGAGCAAUUGCCACCUGUGAAAAAUAUCUCAUCACCCCAAUCUGUAACUGGGUCCCAUGUGUAAUCCUCAAGAAGACUAUUGUUGAGCUUAUGUUACCACAAUUACACAAUUUAGGGAAACCCUUUGAAGUUGAAAAAUGUAAGCAUGAGGCUGCAGAUGUUGAAUUUGGGGAGCUCCAGCGGCAUGCCUGCUGAAAGAUGUAUUUAAUUUUUUGGUUAAUAUGCUAUAAAAUAAGCAUUAGCUAGUAUAUAUUAGCACAUAUAAUGUAGAUCUGUACUGGAGAAUGAUUAUAUAUGAUGUAAAUCGCUAAAUUAUUUUGUUAUUAAUUACACCAGAAAUUACAAUAAGAAAUUUGAAAUUUGUGAAUCUCACCUUUCAAUUUUUUUUUUUUUUUUGGUAAAUCGUUGAUUCGAUAAUAUCAUCAGUUUUUGCUUUAUCUUCAUCU